RNAcentral lists this transfer RNA (64 nucleotides) under Platygaster sp. ZJUH_2016029. Its description in RNAcentral is "tRNA-Phe". The record is from RNAcentral. Lineage: Eukaryota; Metazoa; Arthropoda; Insecta; Hymenoptera; Platygastridae.
AUUUAAAUAGUUUAUAUUAAAAUAUGAUAUUGAAAAUAUUAAGAUAAUGUUUUAUUUUUAAAUA